RNAcentral lists this long non-coding RNA (4204 nucleotides) under Homo sapiens (human). RNAcentral describes it as "HSALNT0393397". Lineage: Eukaryota; Metazoa; Chordata; Mammalia; Primates; Hominidae. The record is from RNAcentral.
AUAGGUGUUGGUGCAGAACGGUUAAGAAGGCUCCUUCUGUACCAGAAGUGAGGCCCAAGUAGGAGCUUAUUCUGAGUCAGUGGAAAUCGUGCAGACCUUCCAGAAGGGAAUGAUGUAAUUGGAAAGCAUUUUUGGAUACUGCACGGCAGUCGUUUGAAGAAAAAACUGGAGAGAUGGGGGAUGGAAGCCUGGGAGUCACAUUUUUUCAAGCAAGACAUCACAGAGGGUGAGGCCCAGUGACAGAGAUGACAGAUAUUCAAAGAUGGAAUGAAAGAGGUUUGGUGACUGGAUAUAAGCAACGAAACAGGAAGAAUUGAAUUUGGGUCUGAUAUUUCCUGGAUGCAAGAUCAGGAGGAUGUUGGCACCAUGGCUUAGUGGGGAAACUGGGGACCGAUUCUGGAGGUAUACCAGCAUGGUGAGUUUGGUUUUAGAUGGGUUGUGUUUGACAUAGGGCUAGCAAUUCUAAGUGAAGAUGUCUAAAGAAAGAUAGAAGUGACUCAGCUCUGAAGUUCUGAAAUGAUCAGCCAUCAGCGUGGCAUGAGGAAGACCUAGGAACAGACAGACUGGGGAGAAGACACAGAGCCAAGCAGGACCUGGCCUGCAGCCCAAACCCUGUGGAAUCCCUACAUUCAAGGACCAGGUUGAAGUGAAGCCAUUGACAGGAACUGAGAUGCAGUAGUGUUCUGGAAGUCAAGUGAGGAGGAGGAUUGAAGAAGAGGUUGGUCAAAAUUCUGGGGGUUGCCCAGUGGAAACACCAGACUGCAAAGCUUUGAGAAGUCUGUAUGAGAUGAACAACUGGAAAAGGUUCUUCGUGAAGAAUUUGUGUGGUGAAGAGCUGGAAUAGCGGCUUGAGGGAGAGAAGCCAGAUGGAGUCUCACUCUGUCGCCCAGGCUGGAGUACAGUGGUGUGAUCCGGGCUGACUGCAAGCUCUGCCUCCCGAGUUCACACCAUUCUCCUGCCUCAGUCUCCCGAAUAGCUGGGACUACAGGCUCCCACCACCACACCCGGCUAAUUUUUUGUACGUUUUUUUUUUUUUAGUAGAGACAGAGUUUCACCGUGUUAGCCAGGAUGGUCUUGAUCUCCUGACAUUGUGAUCCACCCGCCUUGGUCUCACAAAGUGCUGGGAUUACAGGCGUGAGCCACCGCACCUGGCCAUGUUGAUUUGUUUUAAUGGUAGUUGCAAUACUUGUGAGAGUGACAUCCACCUGGAUGCUGACUUGAAUGGAAUUUCAUAACUGUUGGGUACUGACCAUGAGUUGGUGUGGGGACAUACAAAGUUGAACAAGACAUAGGCUUGCCUCAUAGUGUCUACAGCCUGGAAGAGGGAAGAAAGUGACAACACAAAUAGUUCUGCAUCUUAUGAAUUCAUGGGAAGAGGAGAGGUGUCAUAAGACAGAAAACCAGAAGUUUUGGCAACCGUAUGCUGAUUCUGCCAUCUCCAGCCUGAUUCCUUGGGAGAGGUUAACCUUCCACAGUGGUGGCAAAAGUCAGCAGGCAAUGAAGGCUAUUUCCACCUGAGUCACCAGAAAGAAUGGCUAGGUCAUAAGCCACAUGGCUGGACUCUAUCUACCUCCCUGUAAUCUCCACUCUUUCACCUGUGCCAGCAAUGGUUUAGAGAUGAACAGACCAUAAAGACUAUGGAAAUCCAAUAAUCUUUAAUGCAUUUGCUCUGUCAGUGACAUUUGCCAUAGGAGAGAGAGAGAUUUGGAAUUUAUAAUUUGUACACCCUGAUUCUGCACAGCCUUAGUCUCUGACAAUGUGUGAAUGCAUAUUUGGAAGGGACACAUUCUCCCAGUUUACUGCAAUAUCCUCGCUCCCUAUUAAUUACACCCAGUGAUUAAGCCCACAAUGCCUUUUAAAUUUUCCCAGCAAGCCUUGUACAACAAUCCAAAUCAGGCCAAAAGUAGGAGGAGAGCUAUUUUCUUCCUGCCUGCUUUCCCUCUGAGCAUACAAAUUUGGAGGCCCCAUAACAACUGCUCCCCUCUUCAUGCUGGCAGAGCCUAAUUAUUUCUCAACUUAUCCCUAAACAAAGAAUAGAUCACCAAAAUACUUCAGAUGAAACGUAGAGCAGACAGGUCCUGGGCUGGGAAUCCAGGAGACUGAUGCAACAAAUGCAACAAAGAGCAUUAAGAGACUAGCAAUGUCCAUGAAGAAGGGAACCUAAUAAGUAAGCUGCCACAGCUCAAGUCCUCCUGGCCAAAGCCAGGUCAUGUCCCUCUAUAACCAGCCAGUGAGAAGGGAAUGAGGUCCCUAAACGGGUUCGGGGGAUUCAUGAUUCUCUCUGGGGACUGGAGAGAGAGCCUGGAGGUCUCACUUUCUUGAGCACAUCGGGGUGACUGAUGGACCCUGCCGGGUGGUCAAGGUGAGAUGGCUUCUGGCACAGGUAUUGGAUGUGACAUAAUCCUUGCGAAGGGCCUAGACAGUUAAGGAAGUGCACCCUACCUCCUGAAAGCUCCCUCCAUACCUGGCACUAAAAGGUAUUAUCACCAGUUCAGAUAUUUUGAUAUAUAUGGUUCGCUUCUGUCUGAUGACUCCCUGCAAAAAGGCUACCCUCCAAGCUACCCUCUAGGGUGAGUCAUUAGACAGAACAAGGAUAUAACACAUCCCCUGCUCUCCUAAGGAAAUUCUCUCAGUGUGAAUUUUCUUGUGCUGAAUGAACAAAGAUUUUUUUUUGUUUGUUUGUUUUUUUUGGUUUGUUUUUAGACAGUCUCAGUCUGUCACCCAGGCUGGAGUGCAGUGGCACGAUCUUGGCUUACUGCAACCUCUGCCUCUGGGGUUCAAGUGAUUCUUGUGCCUCAGCCUCCCGAGUAGCUGGGAUUACAGGCACCUGCCACCACGCCCAGCUAAUUUUUUUUUUUUUGUAUUUUUUGUAGAGAUGGGGUUUUGCCAUGUUGGUCAGGCUGGUCUUGAACCCCUGACCUCAAGUGAUCCUCCCGCCUUGGCCUCCCAGAGUGCUGGGAUUACAGACAUGAGCCACUGCGCCUGGCCUCAAUGAGUAAAUGUUUUGCUAAAAAAUUUCCCACACUGCCUCAGCAUAAAGCCUUACUUCAGUGUCAACUUUUGGUGCUGAACAAGGCACUCCUUGGCUGAAACCUUCCCACAUUCUAUGCAUUCAUAAGGCUUUUGCAGGGUGAACUUUCUGGUGCUGAGCAAGGUUAGAGGGACAGCCAAAGGCUCUCUCACAUUGUCCCCACUCAUAAAACCUUUCUGUGUUGUGAACUUUCUGGUGCCCUGCAAGGUGGACAUUUCUGCUGUAGGAUUUCCCACACCUGCUGUACACAUAAGGGCUUGCUCCAGAGUGAAGUCUCUGGUGGUGAACAAGGCUGGAGCUCUGGCUAAAGGAUUUCCCACAUUCUUUGCACUCAUAAGGACUUUCUCCAAUAUGGGUUCUUUGAUGUUGACCAAGUCCAUAUUUGGAGCUCAAAGAUUUCUUACGCAAUGUAAAUUAGUAUAACCACUAUGGAGAACAGUUUGGAGGUUCCUCAAAAAACUAAAAAUAGAGCUACCAUAUGACCCAUCAAUCUGACUUCUAGUUAUAUACCCCAAAGAAAAGAAAUCAGUACAUUGAAGAGAUAUCUGCCCUCCCAUCUUUGUUGCAGCACUAUUCACAAUAGCCAAGAUUUGGAAGUAACCCAAAUGUCCAUCAACAGACAAAUGGAUAAAGAAAAUGUGGUGCAUAUACACAAUGGAGUAGUAUUCAGCCAUAAAAAAGAAUGAGAUCUUGUCAUCUGCAACAACAUGGAUGGAACUGGAGGUCCUUAAGGUUAAGCAAAAUAAUCCAGGCACAGAAAGAAAACAUUGCAUGUUCUCAUCUAUUUGUGAGAACUAAAAAUUAAAACAAUUGAACUCAUGGAGAUAGAGAGUAGAAGGAUGGUUACCAGAGGCUGGGAAGGGUAGUGAGGGCGAGUGAGGGGGAAGUGGGGUGUUUAAUGUGUCCAAAAAAUGGUCAGAAACAAUGAAUAAAGUCUAAUAUAUGACAGCAAAAGAGUGUGACUAUAGUCAAUAAUAAUCGAAUGGUACAUUUAAAAAUAACUAAAAGUGUAUAUUUGGAUUGUUUGUAACAUAAAGGAUAAAUGCUUGAGGUGAUGGAUACCCCAUUUACCCUGAUGUGAUUGUUACACAUUGUAUGCCUGUAUCAAAGUAUCCAUAUACCCCAUGAAUAAAUGUAUAUACCUACUAUGCACCUACAAAAAUUAAAAUAAUA